Molecule: long non-coding RNA, 1095 nt
Filed under: Oryza sativa Indica Group (long-grained rice)
Lineage: Eukaryota; Viridiplantae; Streptophyta; Magnoliopsida; Poales; Poaceae
Description: lncRNA OsZS97_09G011320
Source: RNAcentral
GCGUACGGCAGCAGCCGCACCGCCGCCUCGAACACCUCGACGACGAACCCGCCGGCGGUCGUCCGGUUCGUCGCCGCGUCCACGUCCAGGUGCACGAUCGCCCGGUACCCGGGGUUGACGCUGCCGGGCACCGCCACCCGCAGCCUCCGCGCGCUCGUCGGCACCACCCACCCCCUCGGCACCACCGUCGACUCCCCCGGCCAGAUCACCGGCGCGAGCUCGCCCCCGCCACCGCCGCCAACGCCGAGGUGCCGGGUCAGCCCGCCGUCCUUGGUCCAGAACCCGAUGCUCCUCUCCUUCCCUCUGUCCAUGAUGUUCAGCACGCGGAAGGCGUGCACCGCGAGCUCGCCGUCGACGAGCUGGAACCUGCCGCCGAGGCCGUCGAACGUCGUGCUGGUGAUCGCCUCGAGGAACUUCUUGCCGGACCUUGACUUGCCGAGCCCGGCGAAGUCGGUGGGCCCACACGGCGUAGCUGCCCAUCUCGGCGUGCUCCGCGUCGGCGGCCGGGUGCUCGGCCAUGAAGCGGCGCACCCACCGCCGCCUGACGUCGCGCAGCCGCGGCGUCGUCGGCACGUAGGGGGCGAGGCCGAUCACCCCCUGCGGCGCGUUGAUGGAGCCGAGGAGGCCCGUGAGCCCGUCGGUGAUGACCCACGCGAAGCCCUCGCCCAUCAUCCCGGCGGCCUCGGCGGCGGCGAGCACGCGCCCGGCGAGGUCCGGGCGCGCGUGCAGCACGAAGGCGCGCGUCUGCAGCGACUCCAUCCGGUACAUCGCGGCGGCGACGGCGUCGGCGUCGGCCCCCGCCGGGAGCGCGCAGCGGUAGGGGACCUCGGAGCCCUCGGCGGUGAGCGCGUCGACGAGGAACGGCACGAAGGCGGCGCCGUAGUCGUCGUCCUGACCGGCACGACGCGGCGCCACCCGAAGAGCCUCGCGAGCGCGGCGAUGGCGCCCGCCUGCGCCGCGUCGCUCAGCGCGGCGCGCGCGAAGAACCUCCCUCCGCCGGGCGACACCGACGGGCUGGUCGCCGAGAACGACACGACGGGGACCUCCGCCCGCGUGGCGAGGUCGGCGACGAACGCCGACUCCACGGAGGACUGA